AAAAUUAACUAUCCUAUUAUUUAGUGUGUUUUUUUACUUUACUAUCUUGUUAUUAAAAGAGUUACAAUAAAUUAUCCAGUAAUUUUAUUUUUAUUUUAGUGUAAGGACCCGAGGUUAAACUAUUCUGUAGUUUUUUUUUUCAGUGAAUAAAGUAUAGAAUAGUUAAACACAACUUUUUGAAUCAAAGACCGACUAUCUCUAAAGCAAGUGGCAAAAGGCUUGGUGAUUGGUACCCGAGAUCCAAGUUCGAAUCCUAGUUGAUUUACAUUUUUAGCUAAAUUUAUUUCUAAAUGAAAUAAAUGAAGCGAGUAGCGUGCUACCUAUUUCUCAAAAAAAAAACCUUUUUGAAUCAAAGCGGCUAAAAAUUCUUACCCAAACAGAGCUUUGGAUUUUAGUUCUUCUUUGGGCUGCAUGUUCACUUGCUCUGGGCUCUUAUGGGGGGACCAAUUUCUCUUUAAAUUGUUGAAUUUACAUGGGCUUGGUAUAAUGUAGCCUCUAUAUUAGUAGAGGUUUGGUUAGGUUACUGGGGUUGUCAAUUUUUGUAUUUUCAAAUUUUCAAAACGUUUUUGGUGUCACAUUGAAGGAGAGAUUCAUUAGUUAAUUUGCUAAGAGCCUGUUUAGAUGUUUCUUUUUUUUUUACCCUUUGCAGGAUGUCAACAGAUCGGAUUCGGGACGGAUUUUUACAAAUCCGAACCUAACUCCAAACCCGAAACUCGAACCCGAUGAAUUUUAAAAAUUCAUAUCCAAAUCUGAACCCGACCAACAAUCCUACACCCGAACCCGAAAAUUCGAAUCCGAAACAAUUAUUUCUCUUUUCAAUAUUUCAAAAUAUAUUACAUUAAAUCUAAAAUUUGAAAAUACAAAUUCAAAUAUAACAUUAAAUUUUUAUAUAUAUAUAUAUAUGUAUAUAUAAUGUAAAAUAAAUACGGGUUCGGAUCCAGUACAAUCAAAAUCCAUAUCCGAAUUCAUAUCCGUUGGAUUUUUGUUUUUGAUAUCCAUAUUCGAAACCAUAUUCGUCUAGUAUCGGAUAAAUCCGUUCUGUUCGGAUUCAAGUUCGGAUAAAAUUUCGAGUGACACUCCUAUUUGCGCCGGUAGGAGAAUGAAGUAACCAUCACUCUUGUUUCAGAGUAUGUUCCUUCUUUGAGUUUCAUCUGCAAGACUGCAGCUUACUCUUAUCCAAACAAGUCUUAUUAGGGAAAAAAAAGUUAUUCCCAUGUCACUACUUAAAAUGGAAAUUUAAGAUGCAAUUAGCUAUAUGUUUGAGAUAGCUAUUUGAUGCUUCAUUAGGUGAUAAAUAAAAAGAAUAAAGGCACAUAAAAACAAAGGAAAUGUCAUAGUUAAAAAUUAGUAGAACUAAAGAGUAGAUAUGCACAGAGAGAGAGAGAGAGAGAGAGAGAGAGAGAGAGUACCCAAUAAGGAAAUGAUAUAAUAAGCCCAGAAAAAACUGAUGAAAAAGAUUUAUUGGGAAUAAUUCCAAACGUAAGACCGUUCUAUCCGUCAUUCGUACAAUUUUAAAUUUUCUGUUGUCCAUACGACGGACGGUGGAUGAAAUAGUCUCACAUUCGAGAUUUGUCUGCACUAAAUAUUUAUUUCAAAAUGUAGAUUAAGAUUAAAUAGCUCAUGUAAUACAUGCUUUAUUUGAACGAAAUAAUUUUCCUGUUUUUUUUUUUGUAUCAAAUACAAUUUUUGUUUUGGUUCAAAUUAACCUGACCUUUUAAUCAUCUUUUGCGUACAUAACCGAUGAAAUAUGAAUAAUAAUUUAGUAAUAAAACAACAAGUUUGAUAUUUUCCUGAUAAGAAACAGAGUUUGUAGUGCAAUUUGACCUCUUCUCUAUAAAAAACCUUUUCUACAAAUUUACCUCAAAAAAAAAAACUAUUUUUUCAUUCUAGUCCCUAAUCUUCUUUUUCACCAUUUAAGUUUCUAAUCUUUAGUGUAAUUUUAAUUUAACUCAUUGUCUUUAUAAUACCACUAGUUUUGAUGAAAAAUUGCCAUGUAGCGAGAUUCAAUUCUUAUAUAUUGUGCUCUGGAGCUCAACUGGACUGAUCGAUUGGACUAAAAUAAUUAUAGUUUAAUUUGAAAAAUAUCAUACUAAAAAAAUAGUCAAGUAAUUAAUCAGUAGAGCCAACAAGUGAUUCUGAUUAUAGAAGAAAAGUUAUUAUUAUUAUUAUUAUAUUAUUAUUAUUUUUAUAUAUGACUAAAAUAAAUUGUCUAUAAUUUUUUAAAAAUAUAUAUAUAUUUAAUAUACAUUAAUAAUUCGACUUCAAUCAAAAUUUAGGUGAAUUUCUAGAUCAUAAGCCUUUUUUAUUAUUGUUCUUUUGUCAAAAAAUUAUUAAUAUAAAUAUUAAUGUAAUAAAUAUUUGUCAUAUUUAUGGUAUUUCUUUUUAGAGUUAACUAGUAUAUGACUCGUGCGAUGCACAGCUAAUGUAAUAAUAUAAAAUAACAAAAGUUAUUAUAGGAUGAUAAAAGAAAAAUAUUUUAAUUAAUAUUAUAUUUUUUUUAACAAAUAAAGAAAUAUACUAUCAAUCUUAAUUAUAAUACAUAUUAAAUUACGAAAGCUAGAGAAACAAAAUUAUGGACCAAAAUAAAUACUCAGGUAAAGAGCAAAAUUAAACCAUGCUCUAUUAUCUAUGAAUUGGUGUGCAAAAUAAUUUGUUUAAUAGUAUUAUUAAUUAAGAUUGAUAGUAUAUUUGACAUUAAUAAUUAAGUAUAAUUUGAUUUAAUAAUGUUUCCUAAUAAAAUUCUAUUUUUAACCAUCUAAUUGCUAUAUUUGAGUUUGACAUGUGGCAAGUAUAUAGAAAGAUGCAUGAUAAACAUUUAAUUUGAUUUAAUUGUAUAUAUAAUUAUAAUUUAAUUUAACGGUGUUUAAUAGUGUUUACUAAUAAUAUUCUAGUUAAUUGUAUAUAUAAUUAUAUUUAAUUGGUAUAAUUUGAUUUAAUAGUGUUUCCUAAUAAAUAACCUAUUCUAUAUUUGUAGUGUUUCCUAGUAAAAUUCUAAUUUGUAUAAUUUAAUUUAAUUUGAUUUAAUAGUAUUUUCUAAUAAAAUUUUAUUUUUAAUCAUCUAAUUGCUAUAUUUGUGUUUGAUAUGUGGCAAGUAUAUAGAAAGAUGCAUGAUAAACAUUUAAUUUAAUUUAAUUUGAUUUAAUUGUAUAUAUAAUUAUAAUUUGAUUUAAUAGUGUUUAAUUGUGCUUUAUAAUAAAAUUCUAGUUAAUUGUAUAUAUAAUUAUAUUUAAUUGGUAUAAUUUGAUUUAAUUUGAUUUAAUAGUCUUUCCUAAUAAAAUUGAUAUUCUAUUUAUAGUGUUUCAUAAUAAAAUUCUAGUUAAUUGUAUAUAUAAUUAUAUUUAAUUGGUAUAAUUUGAUUUAAUAGUGUUUACUAAUAAAAUUGCUUUUCUAUAUUUAAGUUUGACGCGUGGCAAUCAUAUAAAAAGAUACGUAUCAGUUUUACAUCAAGAGUUCUACUUUAGUAUAUAGUAAAAUUGAGUUUGACACGUGGCAAGUAUAUAGAAAGAUACGUGUCAGUUUUACACCAAGAGUUCUACUUUAGUAUAUAGUAAAUAUAGUAAAUAAAUAGUUUUUUCAACGACCUAUACUGAUAUACAUUAUCUAAUAAAUAAAUACUAAAAAUUAAGGACCGGAUUGCAAAAAAAAAAAAAAAAAAAAUGAAUCGAGGACCCAAAAAAACACGAAUGAAGGUUAGGGACCAACAAGGCAAUUAACCCUUUAAAAUCCGUCGCUUCUCUUCUUCCUUCCUCGCUUCUUUCGCAGCGCAAACGAUGUCGGAGAACCCCUUGGAGCCCCUCCUCAAAACCCUAGACUCAAUCUCGCGCUGCGUCCAAACUCACCUCUCCCGCGUCUUCGUCGCCCCCCAAAACGCUUCUCCAAAACCCACGCUGCUUCGUCCCCUCUUAUCCUUCUCGCCGACUCCCGUGGCUCCGGAUUCUACCACUUCACCCAUAAAGGUGCGCCCUUUGCUUCUCUUUUGCGUCCAAAGAAGAGGUGUUGAGCGCUUAUGGAUUUGGGUUUUACGAGGUCUGUGUGUUUGGGGCUUUGUUUAGGAGAAAAAGGCGGCGCCUUUAACGAAGGAGGAGCUCGGGAGGGCGACGUGGACUCUGCUCCACAGCAUUGCGGCCCAGGUGUUUGGUUUUUUGCCUCUGUGAUGAUCUUGUGCUUUCUCAUGUUUUUUCCCUGAAAGUUACCUUGUCAUUUCGUAGUGAGUUCCUUUUUGUUGGUGAAAGAGGAGUAACUUUGUCUGAUAUUAGCCUUUGGAGGUAGAAAUGACGUAACCUUGUGUCAAUUUAAUCUUUGUAUUGUUUAAAAUGCUGUUGGAAAUGUUGAUUAUAAGAAACUGAGUGUCAAACAAGUGAUUAAUCUAAAAGUACAAGCUCUUAGCGAGUGGUGUUUUAAUAAUUUAUAUUCAACACUUCUCAUUGUAUCUAGGCUCAAGACAUUUUGAUAGGCCAAGAUGCAGGCUACAAUUAAAUGGAGGGAAAGUAAUUGCGACCUGCUCUGAUACCAUAUAAGACAACCAAUUACUCUAAAAAGUUAAGCUAUCAGAUAACAUUGUUUUAAUAUUUUAUGUUCAACACUGAGCUGGCCCAUUGAUACUUUUUUUGGCUUGCUUUCGAAUAGGUAUUAGCAAUAGAUACUUAAUUAGGAUGUUUUCCUUUAUUAUCUUCUCGUGCAUGAUGGGGAUGUUAUGAUUGUUAAGAAUGUUAGUCCCAGAGUGUGAGACUUGAAGAUUUGAAAUAGUUCUAUAUAUAAGAUAUAAUAGAACUAAAUUUUUUAAUCCGGAUAUAGCAUUUUGGACUGUGGCUAGGUUCAAAAGAUUAAAGGAGUCAAGCGUGCUAGGGUUAGAGUAGUCUUAAGAUGCGUGACCCCCUGAGAAGUGGGGCGUCAUAGUUGGUAUAAGAACUAACUACCAGCCGGAAGUAUGAGAUGAGUCUCGGUUGAGCCAAGUUAUACAGUGGACAGAAUGAGACUCUCUGGCCGAUGACUGUUGUGCGUGGAGCGCGGCUUCUUAUAAGGUCGACUAAGGCUAGCGAGAUGAGUCUCACAUUGUCUGGUACUUGUGAGUGUGCUUAAGCCUGAUGAGGACGUCAGAGUUUAAAAGAGAGAAGAAUGUGAGACCCCAGGAUUUGGAAUAAGACUAAAUUUCUUAACCCGGCUGUAGCAUUUUGGACGGUGGCUAAGCCCAAAAGGUUAAGAGAGUUAAGAGUGCUAGGAUUAGAGUAGUUCUAUAAUGGGUGAUCCCCUGGGAAGUGGGACGUCACACAGAGGGCAUCCAGUGUGAACGACAGCCCCAGAAUCUAGUCCCAAAGAGGGCUUUGACAUGGUGCCAGAGUCAGCUUAAGUAUGAAAGGCACCUAGUAAUUGUUGGUUGAAUAAUUAAGUUUCUUAAAUUAAGGCUGAAAUUCAUUAUUCUGAUCUGUUUAACCAAAUCUAAAUUUCGACUAGGUUGCGGGCAUGCAACAAGCACCUAUGUUUGGCUUCGGGAGUUGACUAAACUUGGUUUAUUAUAUUUAUUUUGACCCAUGUGUCACACAUUUAUUGGCUAGAAGAAAUGAUUUUGCUUUCUUCUAGCUGGAAACAGCAUUUAUUAGCCAUAUGUAGUGUGAGCAGCUUUAUGGAGUUGAGAUUUCUGCUGAAACCAACGAUAAUAGACAGAAUAUUCUUGUAAGUUAAGUUUUCAUACUAGAUUUUUUUCUGUUGAACUACUUUCACAAGUCUGCUACUUGUUCUGCUAGCUAUCAAAUUAAGGGCUUACCUUGGUGUAUAUCAUUCUCCUUUGGACACAGCACAUUGAUUUUCUGUAUCUUGUUUAAUACUUUUUCAGUAUCCUGAUCACCCAACAAGGCAGCAGAAAAGAGACGUGAAAGAAUUGGUAUGCAGCAAUGUCAUUUUCAUUUGCUAAAUUAUAUUGUUUAAUACCCGAUUGCAGCCAAUGGUGUCCAUUUCGUUUUGAUUAGAUUUUUCCAUGUUGGGACCAUGCACUAUGCAACAAUUGUACCCUAGGGCGUUGAAGACUUGAAGUUGAUUUUGUAGUUGCUCCAUGUAAAUUGCUAGAUUUAAUGAAAUAUGAUGAUAAGGUAGUGGUAGAUUUCUGCAGAAACAUUGGAAAUCUCUUUUGCUGCGAUAGCUAUUAAUGGAUAAUAUAUUACAUGUUUUGUAAAUCGAAAUAUGAUAAAUAUGUUUCUUUUUUAAGUAUUGUUGCUCAGUUCUUUGAUUUUUUGUAUUAUUGUCUCUCACUAUAUUAAUUCGUAAUAUGUGACAAUUUUUUUUUUUUUGGGUAUAUAUUGUCGCUAAUCAGAUCGUUUUUUAGAUCUAAAAAAGACAAGCUUGAUUUCUACUUCAUGUUUUUUUUCUCUUCUUGCAAUAGUUCAUUAACCUUUGGUUCAUUCAACAAUGGAGUCUCAUAUUUUGAUCAAAUUAGACAUGAGAAUAACACAGGUCUUGGGUUUGUGCACGCAGAUGGCUAUAAUAUCUCGACUUUACCCUUGUAAAGAAUGUGCCGAUCAUUUUAAGGAAGUGUUGAAGUAAGUAUAUUAAUUACCUUCAUAGGACUUGCUUGCUAAAUUGUUAUCGCAACCCCUGUUCUGUACAAAAAAGUCAAAAUGCCAACAUUAUCAAUGUUUUUGAAGUGCUCUUGGGGUCUCUGAAGUUUCUUGGGUUUGAACCUCCCAAUUACAGUUGUUUGAUUUUGGUCGGGUUCCAUUAGACUUAGUAGUUUCAGUUACUUAAUAUUCGAAAAUAACAGAAUAUUCUGGUAAAUUCCGGAAUAUCCUGUCAAAAAUGUUUUAAGAAAGUUGGUCUCACCAAAGCUGACUAAAACCAUUUAGUAUAGUGGGGCGUUCAAAGCCAAAUAUAUUGAAGUCCAGGGAUCUGCUUUUAGAACACCUAGAGCUAUAGUUGGCUUGUAUUGGCUUAGAGAUUAUUUUUGGUGUGCACGUAUUACAUGAAAGAAUAAAGGGUAAACAUACAGCCAUUUGCUGUGUUGUGUUUUGGCAGAGCGAAUCCCGUACAAGCAGGAUCACAAGCUGAAUUCUCUCAAUGGCUAUGUCAUGUACACAAUGUGGUUAAUCGAAGGUAAAUUUAAUCCUCUCCGACACUGUACCUCUACUGUCCAUCUGUUUUUCAUUUUACUCACAGGAAGCAGAUUGAGUCAUUUUUCAGUAUUAAAAAGAGUUCAUCAUUUUUCUGACAUAUGUUUUUGGGUGAUAUUUAUAGCCUAGGGAAAGUGAUAUUUCCCUGUCAGAGAGUGAACGCUCGAUGGGGUAAGUUGGAUUGUAAGGAUCGGUCCUGUGAUUUGGAAGGCACUGUCGACAUCAAAACUUUAACUUCCCACACCUGAUGUAUCACAAAGGAUCAUUUUGAGUAGUGCGAUAUCUUUCUACAUCAAGGAAGAAAAGGAAAUACUAAAGUUCACUCUCUCUUGUUUUACCAUUUUUGUAGUCAAUUUGAAGUAAAGUUUAGAUGGACAUAAUGAUGCUCAUUGUACAGCAGUGCAAACCAUCGUGAAGGCAAAAAAGUAGUAAAAUGAUUAGAUUUUUAACUAUGGAUGAUUGUCAUUGAACCGUAUGCUAUAUGCAUUUUGAGACUGUGACAUGGCAUGUAUUGACGUAAGCUAUAUUAUGUAUAUUUGUCAAUUAUUGUCCGUUAAAUGAUUAGAAAAAAUUGGUUGGGUCAAUGCAGUUGUUAUGUUCGAACUGAAUCUUCAAUCUUGUGCAUGGCUUGGAUGAAAUCUGGUGAAUAAGGUUAUGCUGUAAUUGUGAAGUAGGUUAUGAGAAUAUGUAGUUGCUUAAGCGUUUUCACAAUGCCCAGAAUUGUAUGACUUGGUUUUCAACUGAAGCUAGUAAGUAACCUGGAAACAUUACUGUUUUUUUUUUCCCUGUCGUUUUGCUUCUAACUUUUUAAGGAACUCAUGAGGUGGAAUUCACAAUCCAGUAUAAAGCCCCCCUUUUUUCUGGCUAAAUUUUGAAAUGCACUUUGCCUACUAGAUAGCAAACCAUGCGUGUAUUGCCUUUUUUUUUUCUCUCUCUCUCUCUUUUUUUUUUUUUUUUUUUUUUUUUUUUUUUAAGGUGCUGUGCUUUUAUGAACAUCCCUUAUGCUCAUGAUAGAACAUUCGUACCGAUGAUUAAUAUCGUAAAAUAUAAUCUAAAAGAUUUAAGAUACAAACUAACUAAAAUUUGUCUUUUUGACAUUGUCUACAUUAUGAAAUGCACCUUAAAGUCGGUAAUUUUAAUGGCCAAAAUGAAUUAUUUUGGCAUUCAACAGUGUAAAGCAAUUAAAAUCAGUGAAAUUUUAGUCGAUAGUAUUUUUUCAUUGUUUAGAUUUAGAUCAAUAAGCUAACGCUUAUAACUCACUCUUAAGUUGAAAACUAUAUUUUCUACUUCCACAAAGCUGUUCAAUAUUAAACAUUUUAUUCUUUGACCCGUCAUUUUUAAAAUUGAUCAUCCAUAUCAUUAAGAAUAAGUACUUGGAACAUGUAGAAAUUGACUUUUUGCAUUUUUUUUUCCUCUCAAAUUUAUUCUCUGGAGUAGCAAAAGAUCACAGAAUCAAUGGUGAAAAUUAAACAACCUGAAAAACCCUAGCAUUUGUUUGGUUGGGGGUUAGGGGUGGAAUAACCCCUUAAUCCCCCAUAUUAUUUCCAAACAUUCCAAAAAUAGGUGGGGUUAACUAACCCAACCUCAAAUGAGCUAUUCUGGAUUAGCUAAUCCUAUCUAACCUCACCAAAUCCCAACCAAACACUAUUUUCUAUUCAUAAGAACCCACUAUCUUUCUUAUCCCACCUACUCCAACCAAACAUUAUUUUUUACUAUCCUGAACUAACUCCAAUCCUCAACCAAACACAAAAAUACUCUAAUUCCACCUUAACCCUGAAUUUAACUCUAUCUUUGAAAUAACUAAUUUUUCUUAAUUCCGAAUGAAACGGUAGCUUAAGAUCAAGAAAAUAUUGAUUCGAUAU
RNAcentral lists this long non-coding RNA (8959 nucleotides) under Ananas comosus (pineapple). RNAcentral describes it as "long non-coding RNA (ACOM_LNC022983)". The record is from RNAcentral. Lineage: Eukaryota; Viridiplantae; Streptophyta; Magnoliopsida; Poales; Bromeliaceae.